This 1338-nucleotide long non-coding RNA is filed under the name Homo sapiens (human). RNAcentral describes it as "HSALNT0095764". Lineage: Eukaryota; Metazoa; Chordata; Mammalia; Primates; Hominidae. The record is from RNAcentral.
GAUUUGGGAAGCUUCCAGGUUGGUGAACAAGAAGAACACAUCCAUGUGUUGGGAGAAUGGCACAUCUCAGCUUCAUAGGAACAGAAACUUCUGUGCUUGAUACCCUGCAAGACCUUGCCAUUUAUAUGGAAGCAGAAGAGUCAGUGUUACUGAGAUAAGAUGUGAGAGAGAUUCAGUCGUUACUGGAUUUGAAGAUGGAAGGAGGAAAUAAGUCAAAAGAAUGGGAACAUUAUCUAGAAGCUGAUACGGCAAGAAAAUUGAUUCUUUUUUAUGGCCUGCAGAAAAUAACACUAUCUUGGUGACACCUUGAUUUUAGCCCAGUGAGACCUGUUUUGCCUUGACUUCCAUGAUUGUCGGAAAGAAGCCAGCUACAUUGUCAUGAAGACACUCAAGCUGACCUAUGAAGAGGUCCAUGUGUUAAGAAACUGCGGCCUGCCACCAACAGCCAUGUGAGUGAGCCAUCAUGGAAAUGGAUUUUACAGCUCAAUUCAAGCUUUCAGAUGGUGGCAACCUGGGCUGACAUCUUGAGCACAGCCUCUUGAAAAAUCUCUGAGCCAAAACCAACCAUUUAAGCAGCUCCUGAAUUUCAGACCCACAGAUAUGCUGACAUAAAUGUUUAUUGUAUUAACCCAUGAUUUUUCUUUUUAAUCACACAGUACUAGCCUAUUUUGGCAAAUCUUUUUCAAGAGACUCUUCAUUUUUUUCUUUUCUUUUUUUUAUUUUUUUGAGACAGAGUCUCGCUCUGUUGCCCAGGCUGGAGUGCCGUGGCUUAAUCUCAGCUCACUGCAACCUCCACCUCCCAGAUUCAAGCAAUUCUCCUGUCUCAGCCUCCUGAGUAGCUGGGAUUACAGGCGUGCACCACCAUACCCAGCUAAUUUUUGUAUUUUGUAUUUUUAGUAGAGACAGGGUUUUACCAUGUUGGUCAGGCUGGUCUCAAACUCCUGGCCUCAUGAUCCACCCACGUCAGCCUCCCAAAGUGCUGGGAUUACAGGUGUGAGCCACUGUGCCCUGCCUUUUUUUCUUUUAAUUGUCAUUUUAUAGCUCUCCACCGCAGCUUCCCCACACCCUUCCCUUCCAUGAUGAUGUUUACAGGCUUUGGGGGGACCACGGAACAAAGCUGGGGCCUGGCAGCCCCACUAGGUUGCCAGCUGGGGAGAACAAGGCACAAUUACAAAUUAUCACAACAAUUAGCACCUGUACUUGGGGGAUCUGCAAAUUGAGGAGGCCCCAGCUCCUCAUGGUACAGGGGUCUAUCUGGCAGUGAACUUACUCUGGAGACAAUGGUAUUCCUUCAGUCUGAGGGAGUUGAUGUUGAUGAACCCGGUGUCAUCAAUCGGC